Mya arenaria is the source of this 1166-nucleotide long non-coding RNA. RefSeq lists it as uncharacterized. The transcript has 2 exons. NCBI's taxonomy places the organism in Eukaryota, Metazoa, Mollusca, Bivalvia, Myida, Myidae. The record is from RefSeq and is a predicted model, not a curated record.
UUUCAGCGGAUUUUCAUUUCGCACACGUCACCUAAAAAGAUAUUGGAAAACAUUGUUAUGUUAAAUAAAAAAAAAAUGGAAUAGAUCUGAUUCCUCCCAAAAUCAUUUCUGGUGACAAAGAUACUUUAAAAGUUCCUACCCGAAAUAUGGCCAAUGAAAUCAUCAGCCAAGGGUCAUUUCUAAAUAGUCUGAAGCUAGCGCAAGUUACCCCUAUCUCCUAGAAAGAUGACCCUUUAUUAGAAAAGCACAUAUGAAUUGGAAAUUCGGGGGUGAACCUGUUGAUAACUUGUUUAUGUCCGGUUAUAUUAUGCGUAUUAUCCCACAGAGGAACAAAGGAAGCGUGACCCAACCGUAUUGCCUGCUCCGCCCCUAAACUACUGACUGCUGCCAAAAUGUCGCGAAGAAAUAUACCUGCCGCUGACCUUGAGCAAUUAGACGAUAUUCAGAAGAUGUACAUGAAAAGGUUUGAGCAGACCAACACUGAAAGAGUCUCCAAAUACGUUCACAUUCGUUGGAAGAACAGAAUUACCAUUGCAAUACUUGGAUCGGCCGCCAUUGGUAUCUAUGCGUACACCAUUCGUGCUUUGAGGCAGGAGAAGAUGGGACCGGAGUAUGACCAGCGAUAUUCAGAUGUGUUGGAGGCAGAGAGUGAGGUUUCAAAAGAAUCAUCCUAACACUGUGUUAAACAUGGAGAUUAAAAACAUUUCUACAGACUAGUUUACUUUGGUAGUGCUUUAUAAGACAAAAAAUGAAAGCAUAUUUAAUGGCAUUUUAUUGCUCAUCUGCAAACUGAAUGAAACUCAAAGCACAUCAUCAUCAGUUUGACCAAGUGUUGUAAAUCUUGCAUGACCAAUUGUAAUACCAAUGUUAAAUGUGAUGAUUUUACAAUUAAAUGUGCCCUAUUUCAGUUACAAAAUGGAUGUGUGUAAUGCUUUACUUCAGUGACUUUUAUGACUACUGUGUGGUCUGUGAUAGAUGGUAUGAGAGUCCCGGAACUGCAUAAAACAGGCAUAAGGAACUAAAGAUUGUGAAUCAGUAUGUCAGUGUACAGUGUUCAGUGUACAUAUAUGUAUGUUUUUGUGUUAAAGUUUAUACCAUAAUUUACAUUACAUGAUUAUGAAUACAUUGUAAAUAUUAUUGAUGUUAGUAAAACAUUUCAACCUGUG